AGGCAAAGAUAUCUGAAGGAGAGACUAAAGUUGAGGUCGACGUUCAAGGCGAAGUGGAUAAGAAAGAUGACUCCGGCAACGAGACGGGCGCGGGCGAGCCCGAGGUGGACGAGGACUCUUCGGGCUUCACCGGCUAUGACAAGAACAAGAGCUUCUUUGAUAACAUCUCCUGCGAGGCGGUUGAGAGGUCGAAGGGGCGCAGCCAGAGGACGGACUGGCGGACGGAGCGCAAGCUGAAC
Long non-coding RNA from Papilio polytes (common Mormon), 239 nucleotides. RefSeq lists it as uncharacterized. The transcript is spliced from 3 exons. The record is from RefSeq and is a predicted model, not a curated record. Lineage: Eukaryota; Metazoa; Arthropoda; Insecta; Lepidoptera; Papilionidae.